Mercenaria mercenaria is the source of this 500-nucleotide long non-coding RNA. RefSeq lists it as uncharacterized. NCBI's taxonomy places the organism in Eukaryota, Metazoa, Mollusca, Bivalvia, Venerida, Veneridae. The transcript is spliced from 3 exons. The record is from RefSeq and is a predicted model, not a curated record.
UCUUCUGAUGAGAUUUCUGUGCAGUUUCAAGCGCUGUUAUCACCAGCCAUAAAGUUUGAUAGAAAUACAGAUUCUGUGUACAUACAAUUUUUCAAGAAUGAUUUAGGUUUAGAAAAGCUUAAAAUGGGCUUGGUUUGCGAACAUCAAUGUCAAGGGGUUGAUAAUUGCACAGAGUUUACUUUUCAAAGACUACUUCGGAAACGGGACAUUCUAAAUGAGGAAGUCUUCUAUCAGUAUUUUGUGGAAAGACACAGCAUUUCAAAAAAAUCGGGAAAGAAGCCAAAAGAUAUAACUGAACUUGUAUAUGGGCAGUCUUCAAUGUAUGAUAAACGGCCCUUGAUUGUUCCAAAACGAUAUCUUGAACCUGGUUGCUGUCUUCCAAUCACUUGCCACUCACAGAUGUGGGAUAUAAGCCCAGCUUUGGGUGUAUAAUUCUUCAUGUGAGGAAGCAAUCCAGCUGGAUUACAGACGGUCGGUUUUAUCCAGGUGCCCGCCCGUGC